Molecule: small RNA, 831 nt
Filed under: Physciaceae sp. KWS 3
Lineage: Eukaryota; Fungi; Ascomycota; Lecanoromycetes; Caliciales; Physciaceae
Description: eukaryotic LSU rRNA
Rfam family: 5.8S ribosomal RNA (bases 452-605)
Source: RNAcentral
UCGGACAUACCGGAAGGUUUGCCUACGCAGCCCCCACGCCGACUCUAAACAGACGUCCAGUCGUUCGCUCCGUCGUGCGGCAACGCGGCUAUUCUGGCUAGAAGCAUCCUGGCGGUAUUCCCGCCUGGAGGCAACUAGCAGCUCCCGUAGCCUUAAAUCGGUAUGACGGGAGUCCACAGAUCAAAUGCCUGCGGCCAUGCCAUUAUCGCAUGGUUGUGAUAUGACCGAGCCCCGCCAGCAGUGGCGAGGGAAACCUGGAACCUGCGGAAGGAUCAUUACCGAGAGACGGGAUCUAACCGGCCCCAACUCUUCACCCGUGUAUAUUCUACCUAGUUGCUUUGGCGGGCCGCCGGAGGCUCUCUGCGGGAGGCUUAACCCCCUCCUCGUGCCCGCCAGAGGGCCCAACUAAACUCUGUUAUCAGUGAAGUCUGAGCCAAAACAUAAUAACUAAAACUUUCAACAACGGAUCUCUUGGUUCCAGCAUCGAUGAAGAACGCAGCGAAAUGCGAAAAGUAAUGUGAAUUGCAGAAUUCCGUGAAUCAUCGAAUCUUUGAACGCACAUUGCGCCCUUUGGUAUUCCGAGGGGCAUGCCUGUUCGAGCGUCAUUGCAACCCUCAAGCACUGCUUGGUAUUGGGCCGCGCCCGCGGUGGCGCGCCCGGAUUUCAGUGGCGGUCCGGCGAGACUUCAAGCGUAGCAAGAUUAUAUAUCCCGCUUUGGAAGCUUCUCGCUGCGUGCUCGCCAGCCAACCCUUGUUCUCAAUGGUUGACCUCGGAUCAGGUAGGGAUACCCGCUGAACUUAAGCAUAUCAAUAAGCGGAGGAAAAGAAACCA